CAAAUAACAAGUUUUAUUUUUAACACUGUGAAGGAAACCAGGAUGCAAAUUCCCAGAGUUGCACCUACAGUGGGCAUGUGGAGCUGAUUUUCACCAGCUGAUGAGCUUUAACUGCCAGUGCCCUGCUGACUGUAGGACUGGGGUUUCCAAUCAGGUCUGGCCAAAACAUAGCUGGCUUAUCCCUCUCAAGUUGUGAGCCACUGGAACAGCAGCCCCUGGGCUAUGGGAUUCAGCUGACUUGUUUAGACAGUGAGGCUGGAGAAUGAUGGGAAGCAGCUGGGGAAUAAAGGUUUUCCUGCUGAGCCCAGGGAAAGGUGGGAUUGCUGGGGUUUUCCUGCUUAUUCUCUUCCUGAUGGUUCUACUGGUCCUCCUCCUGUCUAAGGCUCCUUCAGGAGACAAAAACAUCCAUCUCACCGUAGCUCCUCUGACAGAAUGAGUAAGUGUGUGAGCUGUUCCUCAGCAUGGGAACUGCUGCUGCUGAUCUCUGUCCCCCUGCACACAAGCUGCUGAGGGUCCCAUUGCUGCACAUUCCCCUCUCUCCAUGGAGGGCAGCCAAGCACUUUUCUUUUGAGGAUGAUGAAUGUGCAAAACAGUUUUGAACGCUUCAGCUUUAAACAAAGCACUCUCCAAAGCUCCCUUCUGCCUUGGGCAGCCAACCACAAGUCUCCCUGGUGGAAACCUGGCAGCUUCCAUGAGCUCCUUUUGCAGGGCAGGAGGUGGGAGCCCAUGUGGACAUUGAGCAGCAGCUGUAGUCCCCCAGACUCUGGACACACUGACACAGGUUUGAAUGUGUCUGACUUGGCUGGUAUGUCCUGAAGACACUUGCUUGCAUAAAUAAAUUUCAAGUUAG
Molecule: long non-coding RNA, 850 nt
Filed under: Cyanistes caeruleus (blue tit)
Lineage: Eukaryota; Metazoa; Chordata; Aves; Passeriformes; Paridae
Description: lncRNA (ENSCCEG00000009837.1)
Source: RNAcentral